Long non-coding RNA from Cyprinus carpio (common carp), 220 nucleotides. RefSeq lists it as uncharacterized. NCBI's taxonomy places the organism in Eukaryota, Metazoa, Chordata, Actinopteri, Cypriniformes, Cyprinidae. The record is from RefSeq and is a predicted model, not a curated record. The transcript has 3 exons.
CAAUGUUCUUAACGGGUCCAUUAAAGCAACUCAAGAGGAUGUGCGACAAGACGAGAGCUCUGGCAACUGGCAUUAUGAUUACAUGCCUGGUGCUAACCUUCUGUGCUGCUUUUUGGUGGAAGAACAAAGGCCUUGCUCUGCUGUUCUGUAUCCUCCAGUUUUGGCCUUUACAUGGUAAGAUACCAGCCAUAGUUACGUUCUUUAUAAAUGACUGUAUAAA